GUUAGUCGGCCCCUAAGGCGAGGCUGAGAAGCGUAGUCGAUGGGAAACGGAUUAAUAUUUCCGUACUUGUAAUUAUUGCGAUGGGGGGACGGAGAAGGCUAGGCUAGCUGGGCGUUGGUUGUCCCAGUUUAAGGUUGUAGGCUGAGAACUUAGGCAAAUCCGGGUUCUUAAGGCCGAGAGCUGAUGACGGUGACUCUACGGAGUCCGAAGUAGUCGAUGCCAUGCUUCCAGGAAAAGCCUCUAAGCUUCAGAUAAUUACAAACCGUACCCUAAACCGACACAGGUGGUCAGGUAGAGAAUACCAAGGCGCUUGAGAGAACUCGGGUGAAGGAACUAGGCAAAAUGGUACCGUAACUUCGGGAGAAGGUACGCCGGUCGAUGUGAAGGACUUGCUCCGUAAGCAUUGAUCGGUCGAAGAUACUAGGUGGCUGCGACUGUUUAUUAAAAACACAGUACUCUGCAAACACGAAAGUGGACGUAUAGGGUAUGACGCCUGCCCGGUGCCGGAAGGUUAAUUGAUGGGGUUAGCUUCGGCGAAGCUCUUGAUCGAAGCCCCGGUAAACGGCGGCCGUAACAAUAACGGUCCUAAGGUAGCGAAAUUCCUUGUCGGGUA
This 613-nucleotide ribosomal RNA is filed under the name Astrosyne radiata. RNAcentral's name for it is "partial Bacterial large subunit ribosomal RNA". It matches the Rfam family "Bacterial large subunit ribosomal RNA", at positions 1379 to 1978 of the family's 2925-position model. Lineage: Eukaryota; Bacillariophyta; Fragilariophyceae; Cyclophorales; Cyclophoraceae. The record is from RNAcentral.